CUGGCUCAGGAUGAACGCUGGCGGCGUGUUUAACACAUACAAGUCGAGCGAGAAGCUUCUCAGUAGAUUCUUCGGAUGAUACAGAGUGCGGAAAGCGGCGGACGGGUGAGUAACGCGUAGGCAACCUGCCCCCUGCAGAGGGAUAGCCUCGGGAAACCGGGAUUAAAACCUCAUAAUGCGGCACUGAGACAUCUCAGAGCCGCCAAAGAUUUAUCGGCAGGGGAUGGGCCUGCGUCUGAUUAGUUAGUUGGUGGGGUAACGGCCUACCAAGGCGACGAUCAGUAGCCGACCUGAGAGGGUGAUCGGCCACAUUGGAACUGAGACACGGUCCAAACUCCUACGGGAGGCAGCAGUGGAGAAUCUUGCACAAUGGGCGAAAGCCUGAUGCAGCAACGCCGCGUGAAGGAUGAAGGCCCUUGGGUCGUAAACUUCUGUUCUAAGGGAAGAUAAUGACGGUACCUUAGGAGCAAGUCCCGGCUAACUACGUGCCAGCCGCCGC
RNAcentral lists this ribosomal RNA (499 nucleotides) under uncultured bacterium. RNAcentral describes it as "bacterial SSU rRNA". It matches the Rfam family "Bacterial small subunit ribosomal RNA", at positions 19 to 518 of the family's 1533-position model. The record is from RNAcentral.